Long non-coding RNA from Ornithorhynchus anatinus (platypus), 667 nucleotides. RefSeq lists it as uncharacterized. The transcript is spliced from 3 exons. Lineage: Eukaryota; Metazoa; Chordata; Mammalia; Monotremata; Ornithorhynchidae. The record is from RefSeq and is a predicted model, not a curated record.
GGUUGGCCCGCCAGCCCGGGAGGCAAGCUUCACACUUGGAGAAAGGCGAGCCUGAAGUUCAUCAUCCUUUUCUCUGGGUCCGGCCCGAGCCCGUAGAGGAGCAGUAGGAUCCUGCCUGCAGAUGAUAUCCACUGUCGCCAAAGAGACAGCCAAAUCUUGCAGGCCCACAGCCCUUAGAACGCAGGUACUGGGUCCCUGGAUGCAAAUCUGAGGAAGAUUCAGGGAACGGCUUCCGGUAUCGUGGCUGUAAUGCUGAAACUGUCUGGGUCUGAGUUUUAAGUUGUGCUACGACCAUGAAUGGCUCUCCCAGUUUGGACAUCUUUCCUGCUGGAAUUUCCCAGUGGUUUCAGGUGAUUUGCAAGGAUGAUUGAACCCUGCAAUCUGGAAUCUACUGGGAUUUUGUGAUGGAAUACAAUCCAAGUCACUGAAGGAAAGGGACAUUCAAUCUAAAACACCAUUAGCCUUCCUGGUCAUUGAAGAAAGAUGACAUGCCAUCAUUCAGUUGGGGUCUUUCAAGAUUCUUUGUGGAAGCCCUGAAAAGCAAGUGAUCUCUGCAUCAACCCUGCUAGCGAGUGAGUGGGAAGUAUCCAACCUGGGGUUCCACCAUCCAUUCCAGGGAGAGGGUGACCUCCAUGAUCCGAAGGUGGCAAGCUUCUGAAACUUCUCU